Long non-coding RNA from Cebus imitator (Panamanian white-faced capuchin), 303 nucleotides. RefSeq lists it as uncharacterized. The transcript is spliced from 4 exons. The record is from RefSeq and is a predicted model, not a curated record. NCBI's taxonomy places the organism in Eukaryota, Metazoa, Chordata, Mammalia, Primates, Cebidae.
CCAAGAAACUUGUUCCAGUAAAGAAGGAACCUGUGCCUGUUACCAAAAAACCAGAAGUUCUUCCAGAAAAAGUGCCCAAAGUGCCCAAGAAAAUCAUCCCAGAAAAGGAAGUGCCUCUACCUAUCCCUGCAGAGCCAGAAGCUCCACCUGCUGAAGUGGAAGAGACUCCUGAGGAAAUAAUAUAUGAAGAAAAAGCAUCUAUAACCAUUGGUAGAAAAGAGACUCCCCCUGUUGAAGAACGUGAAAUUGAAAAGUACAUUAAACCUGAAGAGCCUGAACCUGAACCACAGCCUGAAGAAAUAC